This is a non-coding RNA of Coturnix japonica (Japanese quail), 13605 nucleotides long. NCBI's taxonomy places the organism in Eukaryota, Metazoa, Chordata, Aves, Galliformes, Phasianidae. The record is from RefSeq and is a predicted model, not a curated record.
AGUGGUGGUGGCUUUUGCUUCCCUCUUGCAGAUGGUCUUUCUGACAGGAGCAGGGAUGUCUGAGUGCCUGGCUGGAGCUGUGCUGCCCACCUGGCCUUGGGGCAGCACCCAGUGCCUGCCCUGCUCAGGACCUUGCCAGGAGCAGAGCUGCUGCCGUUGUGUGGCAACUUGCCCAGUGAAAAGUAGCAGAAUUGACUGUGCAAUUGUUAAUGAAAAUCACAGGCAGGAAGUUGUAGCCAAGGCCUGUAAUUGCACUAAUUGGUGGCAUCCUCAUGAAUGUGCCAAGAGCCAUUCUCCUGAUCUCAGCCUAGUAAUUCUUCUCAUGUCGUGUUUCAGCAUCUCCUGUGUGAGGCAGAGCCACCUGCCUGGUGGACAUCAUCAGUAUGGAAGUUGCUGUAGAUCUGCUCCUUUGUUUUCAGAUGUUGAAAGUUUUCAGUGGAGAAGGUGUUGGAGUUGGUGCCGGGUAUUGCAGCAUUGCAUUCUUCAUCUAUGAGAUGAGAUGGAUCAGCCCAGGCCAAGCAGGAACCUCGUGGACUCUCUCAUUGGGCACCACUGCCAAGAGCCUGGUUCUGUUUUCUCAGGUAGCUUCUGUGUGGUACUGGUUGCUGUGAUGGCCCCCGAAGCCAUCUAUCUCAUUCCCAGGCUGAACAAACCCGGCUCCCUGUGCUUUUCCUUCCAAGAGCAUAUAUUCCAAUCCCUGUAUUACCGUGCUGGCUCUCUACUGAACUCAAUCCAGUUUGUCCAUGUCUUUUCCUGUACUGGGGGGAAGCUAGAUACAGUAUUCUUCAUAGAGUUUACAAAAUAUGGGUACAGAUGGAUAAUCAUUUCCCUUGACCUAUCUCCUGCUGUGUAGCUAGCAGUUAGGAUGCCAUUACAUGCUACUGGCUCAUGUUUAAUGUCUUGUUUACUGAGAUUUCCUGGUUCUCUUCAUGAGAGGAGCAGGAGAGCCAGGGGUGGUCCUGGAGGCACUUGAACAGAGCCCUAGGCUGCCCUGUUAGGUAUUUCAGGCUGCUGUCAUGGCACAGAUACCACAGGGACAUUCCCUUUGCUAGUGUGAGUUUAAAAACAGUGUGGUUUUGAAGGAUUUGACUUGCAAAACUGUUAAGAUGGUCAGGCCUGAAAGAGGAGAGAUGGGCAAGACCACAUGGCGAACUGCUGCCUCUGCACUGGCAUGGCUGACAGUUGUCCAGGUUCUGAGACAGGAGCAGGUUGGCCUUGCUAAUAAGCUCUGCAGGCAGGGUCUACUCCCAGGUCUCUAAAGCAUCCAGAUCCUCAACCUUUUCUUGUCCUCUGCAUAUUCUAUGGAGAUGGAUGCUCCUUCUGCCCAACACUCUCUUCCGAAGUCAUUUCUUGUGAGAGAAAACCGCAAACCCAGCAUAGCUUUUGCCCUAGGACAGGUCUUUGGCUUCCUUGACACAAGUGCACUGCUAACAUUCUCCCCAGUUUCCCUCCAGGCGUUUGUCCUCAAUCUGCCAGUGUCCCUCAGCAUCUGACCGCCUACCUGUGCAGGAUGCAGCCGGCAGGAUUCCCCUUGAAGCUCCGAUUCUUCCCUACAUCUCUGUUCUUUGAUGUUCGGCAGCAUCGCCCUUCCUGUUAACACUCUUAUCAGAGCCCACAGCUGCUCUCCCCUGCUGUUGGCACGGGGAGGGGAGGCAGUUCUGCACUGCAGUCAGAUGGGCUUCGGUGUGGGUGGUAGGAGCAGAGAGAUGAGGAAGGAAAGUGUGGGGAGAGGGCCUGGAGGAACGAAUGUUCUUGUUACCUGUCCUUGCACCAGCCUCAGAGGGAAAGGAAGCCUUGUUCCCACCAGGGGCCAUACCAGCAUCCAUCCUCUGCAGCAGUGCUGUCCAUUGUAGGUUUGGGUAGAGGUAGGCGCUGAUCCUGGGUCCAUCCCCAGGUGGCAGGUGAGACCAGUGGCUCAGGAGCUCCCUGCAGGUGGUUCAGUGCCUCCUCGCAUGGUGCCGGCUGUACCUUGUGCUGCCAGCUUCAUAGAUUUUAAGGCCUGAAGUGGCUGUUCAGCUGUCCGGGGGCCCUGUGUAGCUCCAAGUGAGAAAUGCCAUUAUCUUCUUUAGCCUGUAAUGAACUCAGUAUCUCUCAGCUGAUGUAUUUUCCAUGACAGGAUGGAGGAUGCUAGGAGGCAGAGCAGAUGGCACUUCCCUGGUAGCGUGGCCCAGUGCCGUGUUUCUUAUUUGCACUUGCUUGACUACAGGCUCCAUCCUCUUUUCUUCACAAAGUUAAAGAGCUCUUUCACACCAAGUAUUUUCUCUCUGUGAAGUGCUUACAAUCAAAUCACCUCUCAGUCUCCCUUUUUGGUGAGAUAACAGACUGAACUCUUUCAUUCCGUCUCUGGCAAGUGUUUUCUCCAGCCUCCAAAUCACAUUUGUCAUUCUUCUGUACAUCCUACAUUAUCUUAUGUAUUUUUUUUUUUUCAAAUCCCUUUAGAAAUGUGGGCACCAGAACGGAUCGUCAGCGCCAUCCCACUCAUCGCAACCAUCCACAUCUCUGAGCUUGCUGCCACUGCUUUCCCCACUGAGAGCAUGUGCAGGAGACAGGGAGUGCUGUGUGUAAAGCAAAAAGGACUCUGUGGUCCCGUGAAUGGCUGAUUUCCCCUCAACUUAUUAUUAACCCAAGUGGGUCAGUCUCAUUGUCAUUGCCCACUGGGGUUGGAAGCCGUCUUGGAAGGGGCUGCCCCACCAGGCUGGCAGGUCCUGGAGGAUAAGAGAACAAAGAGCAGUGAGUUAUUGCUAGGAAUUGCAUUACUGUUCACAUCAUUGGUUCAUGACCCCUAGUUGCCUUCCCCACAGCCACAUCUUCCAUGGAAAAGCAAGCAAAGGGAGGCUUUAAACAGAAAAGAGGAGGAGGAGGCACCUGACCAGAAAAGGGCACAGAAAACAAGGGAUGGGAAUGGUGAGAGAUGCAGCUGGAGGGCAUGAAUGCAAGAACUCAUUCUGUCUGGCACUGAAAGGGCUUUGGUGGGACACAGAACUGUCCUACAAGACCCCCCCUUUAGCAUAAGUAUCCCUGCUACCUUAAUUGCUCUUAAACUUCUCAGCCUUGCAGGACUGGGUGAUUGCUUUAUCAGAGCUGCUUGCAUUAACAGGCAGUAAUGGGCACCUGUGCUAAGGAGCCUUUUUAUGAUUACUGCUGAAUGCAGAUCAAACUCUCCACAGCUGGGAGAUUACGUGGGGGAGGAGUGGUAAUGCUCAUGUUUACCCUGUCUUUCCAGCAGGUGCUCCUCUUCCCUCAGGGCUGAAGCAUUUUUGGUGUUUGUUUCUUGUGCCUUAAAUCUGCAGUAGCACCAGCCAGGGCUCCAUGGGAAGCAUAGCUGUGUGCUUCUCUGGAGCAUAGAGAACAAGCGCAGCUCACGCAGUGCUCAUCUCUGUUCUUUGUCACGUGGGUGUUUCGUACAGAAGCUUCUGCUAAAAAUCUUACCUUGACUAGUGAAGGCAUGAGAGGGAUUUGGUCCUUGGUUGUUCCCUUAGCCCUAUGCAUCACCAGCUGUGGGGGCUCUCCCCCUGGCAUACAGCUCCCUUGGCUCCUGCUGCAUCAGCACUCCCUGUGCACUGGGCCCAGCCCCCUUCUGUUGCCAUUUGUCAUUUCUGAUCCAAUAAAUAACAGUACAGUGAGGGACUGAUUUAGAUUGUGGGUAGGAGCCCUAGGCUGUGUGAUGGAAGCACAGAGAGUUGGCUGCGAGCACCUGGGGGUAAACUGUGCUGGCAUCUCAGGAGUGCAGCAGCCUGGUGGAUCCCAGGUGGUGAGGAGGAGUCCUGCUCCAUGGGGGAAGCAAGGCCUUUGUAGGCUUCACUACAGGACUCCUGUCCCACAGUUCUGUCUGAGAACCAAACCUUGAGCAGUAACAAAUUGACCUCAGCUGCGUUGCUCACCCUUUGCUCUGUCUCUGCAGGGUGCAGUGCUCUGGAAGAAGCCCAUGAGAGGCCCCCAUGACUGCUCCAGGGGACUGCAGCAGCUGUCCUACUGCCACCUACAUCCAGUGCUCACAGAAGUGGCAGGAGUGGGUGCAGAAGGAGUUAAAACAGUGCUGGGAAAAUUGGUAUUUAAUCCAGCACUGUCCCUUCUAGCAAACCUAGAUGGGAAAAUGCCUCCCUGUUGGAAACGGUGCCUCUCAGAAAUGGAAAUGCAGGAUGGCUGGGGAUUAGGGUGCCUAUCGCUGGAAAUGGGUUUCUUAUCGUCUCUCUGUGUUGAAAUGGUGGGACAGCCUCUGAAAAUUGAAUUGCUUUCCCUGUUUCUGCCUCUGCCAUUGCAUCCCUCCUGUGCUGUGGCUUUGCACUUGCUUUCCUGCCUCUGGUCUCUCUUGUCCCAGUGCUCAGCAACGUCAGCAAGGAAUUCAUGUCUGUGGAGAGGGAUGGUGCUGCAGCGGGCUGUGGGCAGGGCUGGCUGCAUUGGGAGGGCUUCAUUCAUGGGACUCCCAAGGUCAGGAUGCAGACCCUCUUUCCAAGCUUCCUUCCAACCCGGCAAGGACAGCAGAGGCAGAGCCUGAUAUGGGGCAGCACACAAGGAGGCUUGGAAUGAUCAGAGGACAUCGGGCACAACUGGAAAGGAGGGACUAAUGGUGAGGAGCUGGGGGAGAAACCAGUCUGAAUGUGCAGCACGAAAGAGACUGAAUUCUCGUGAGACAAGAAGCAGCCUUGAUCCCAGGGCUUUGCUGUGGUAUGUAGGGGUGUAGCAUCCCACAUCUCUGGCUGUGACUGCAGUGGCCAUUCCUCCUCUUUCCUCCUUGCAGCUUGUCUUCGUAGUGUGAAACACAUGUGUCCACAAGCAACGGUCAGUCUUUACACAGCUCUGUGAUGCUCUCAGGCAAACCCACACAGCACGGCUGUUGAGCACACCAACCUGCAGCCUUGGUGCUGCACCUGGGUUUGCUCACUGCCCUUAUAUCUUUCUCUGCCACCUGUGGAGCUUGCAAAGAAAAAAUGAUGGAGCAGACAUUAUGGGAGCCAGCACAGAGCUGUCCCUAUGUCAGCUGUAGAUACUGAGGGUCACCCAGCUGGGCUGUGCCUGGCCUGGAUGUGCAUUUUGUCACCUGGGGCUCUCACAGCCCCUUGGGUGUGGUCAUGUGUUGAACAACUAUUAAAACAACUUCUGUUUCAUUUUGGGCUAAAGCUGAUAAAUCAAGGUGACUUUGGGGAGAGAAAUAAUUCCUUUCCUCGGAUUUGCAUAAUCCUGGCUGGUGAUAUGAUAAUGGUGUUUGUUAAAGACAGGACACAAUAAAUUAAUACUGUUAAGUUGUUGCUGCAAACUACAAAGCAGGUAAUUUACUCUGGGUGCAAAGGAGAGAGUGAGUGCUGCAGGCAUGGCCAUGGCCUCUGUCCUCAGCUUUCACCACAUGCACCUGGGUUCAGCUGAUGUGAUGCUGCAGGACAAGUGAGGAAGGGCUGGUGUGAUGCAGAGGUAGGGAGAGGUGCUCAGUAGGGGUGCACUGGAGCCUCACUCAUUCCCUGGGCUGCUGCUGCAGCUCCAGAGCCAUCCUUGCAUGUCAUAUCCCACUGGAAUCCUAAUGCACCAUUUAUCUCUGCAGCUUCACAGCUCUAUUAGAAGGAAGAUGCUGUGUGGGAGCCAGAGCAGGGUUUCGAGCUAAUUGGAUUCUGUGUCUCCGUGGUUUCCCAUGUAGGCAGGCAACAGGGAUUAGUGCAGUGUUUCUGAGGAACAGAGGAGAGUUGAGGAUGACCUGUAUGGGGAUUUCCUCCUGCAUAACCCCUGCUGCUAGCAAAGGACUUUUAAAACAGGCUGUUGAGGUGGAAUGGCUGGGAGCAGCAUGUCCUUAAUCUUUGGUAGAGUUGCUGCCUGAAUUUCAUGUUCUCUUCCUAAUUCUUUGAGCCAGGUGCCAUUCACUUUCCAGGGACUAAACCAGCUCAACCAGCCUCCAAGCACAAACAAGCCUGGCACUGUUCUGGUCUCUCCUGCGAACCCCUUUGUAGGGGAAACCAGAUGGAAAUGAAACUGUUGGUGUCUCCUGAGCACAACUAACCACCUGCCUGAGUUACUCCCUUUUGCCUCCCUGCUCCCCUUCCCAAGCCUAGCUGCUGUCUGGAAGCAGUGCACAUCAGAUAUCCAUCCUCCCUGAGUUCCUAGUCUGCCAGUGUAGGAACAGAAUUCUCCUCAUUAACAUAGAUUUAUUCCUGUAUCAACAUUUCAUUGCUUUAAUUGCAAACCAGUCAUACUGCAGGCAGUGGUGGCAAUGCCUUCAUUUACACUAAGCAUUGGAGACAGCAGAGUACAUAUGGCACAUGGCUGAUUGCAUACAGGUAGGACGUGCCACGGUGUCUGCGUGCAGAAGUGUGUGCUGUGCAAUGCAGUGGCAGCUGGUCUGGGUAAGUGACCCUUCUUCCUGGCAAUAGUGAGGCCCUGGGGCCCCAUUCAGCUGAGCACCAGUGCAGGAGGAUGCACCCAGGCAACGGUCUGCUGAUCUGACAGCUCUGUAGGUGCAGAGAGGUACCGGUUCUUGACAGCCUGCUGCUGCAUUUCAUGCUCUCUGCUCUCCCACAUUCUCACCCAAACGUUAAUUUUACGGAUGCCUUUAUAAAUCUCGCCGUUUUCUCCUGUUCAUGGGCUUCAUAGAUUUCAUCAUGCUGAGAGAUGGCACUUCUGGCCUCUGGUACCAAGCUAUCAAUUUAAUACUCUGAGUGUAAUAAAAAACAUGGGACGAUAUUAACUCACAAUUACUCUGCUGCUCCUUGCUGUAACUCGUUCUAUUCCAUCUGAAAGCUUGGGAUGCAGAGUAUGUGCAUCAGCUGCUGGCAGAGCCACAGGCUCAGGGCAGCCAGUGCCUCCCAGCUUGGAUCUACUCAUUUCCCAAACUAUGAGCUGUUCUUCUGCUUGCCAAGAAUACAGAGGUGUCCGUCUGUACCUCUGUCAGACCAGACCAUGUGGAUGCUGAGAUUGCUGCCUUCUAGAGAGCGCUUUUCCAGGUCUGUUGAGUAAAUAUAGACCUGGAAGUCAUUUUUUUCUAUUCUGUUCCCCUGCUAUUUCAUGAAGUCGGGACAUUUCUCAUACAGAAGGCUCCCCCAGCAGCCCAGCCGCAGGGUGUAGCGAGCGCCCAGGUCCCAGUUGACCUAUCACUCAAAGAGCAACAGCAGAUGGAUGUGAAAAGCCUUUAAAUUCAGCACAUGAUCAAUGCUAAACCGAUCUCCCGGAGUCCUUUAUAAGAUUGCCCCAGCUUCAUGCAUCCAAUUGUAACGAAAAAAUCACUCGGCACACAGGGGAGAUGUGAGAAACGCUGUAGAUCCCAUUUAGGAUGCAAAGAGCCAGAGUAAGUAACUUCACAUUGUUUCUUGCCGUAAAUAAUUUAUCCAGCUUACAUUUUGGUUUAUUGCCCCUGCCCCCCUCAGCUCUAUUCUACCGGUUUCCUUCUUUUGUCCUGAAAUUCCCUCGCUGGGUCACUUCUGUCACUAUGAUUCCCUACCACGCACGUGUGUGUGCUUGUGCACGCACAGUGGCACGACUGACCCAGUUCAGCUUCUGCUGGUUGUGGUUUAUCAGGGCCGGCAAUGCUGGGGCAGGGAUGCUGCCUUUUCACCCAGCUUCCUCACCUCGGGCUCUUCCCCAGCACAGCUUUUACACGGUGUCAGGAUGCGUUAAUGAAAACGUUUGGAAUGCGUUAGCAAUGCUAAUAGUAUUGCUGUACUAAUUAGGAAUGCCAUUUGAACGAACUCUCGCUUAACGAUACAAAUUACCAGCCAGCCAGGCGCAGAGCGAGGGCUGCAGCUGCUGCAUGGAGAGCAGCGAUUACGGGGUGUGAAGUUCUGGCACCGGGCCUGGCAGCAGAAUGAGGCCCUGGGCUUCUCUGUGCUGUCAGAACCAGGAGGAACCCUGCAGCAAGUGCUCUGCAUCUGGGCUGGGGUGCAUGGUGGGCUCUGCCCUGAUUGCACAGCCUUCCUGGUGCAAGCUCUGGUGGUACCACUGAGCCAGAUGACCUGUGUGUCAAUGCAAGUUGCUACAGCUGCAGAAAGAACAGGUUGAUGUGUGUCCCCGCCAUGGGAAGGAGCUUGUCUGGCCCUGUUGUACUGCAGUUCUGAAGCCCUUGGCAGCACGCUGGCUCUGGGGCAUCCUGCUUCCUGGAAGCUUGGUGGAAAGGGCUGAUUUACAAACAGACAGGUGUUCCCAGAGCUGAAAACUAGUUGGGAAGAGCAAUGCCUGCAUACCCAUCCCCAGCCUGCUCCUGGUUAUUGCUCCUGGCUGCUCUGAAGACAUGAUACAGAUUGAAAAGACUCUCCCAAUGGAAACCAUUUGGUGCCUGAGGAAACCAGAGCCCUGCAGAUACCUUCCAGGGAGUGGCUUUGUUGGGACAGGUGGAUGCUGUUAAGUAUCCAACCCCACCUUUGGUUCUGUUCACCUCUGGUUGCUGUGAAGGGCAGGAGAGUUGAGAUCAGAGAGUGUGGCCUGUUUGUCCGACCCAAAUGGCACCUUCAGGAGCAGAUCUUCAGACCUUGUGCAACCCUCUCUAUUGGCUGUUCUGCUGCUCCUUCCAGCCAGGCAGCAGGUGACCUUUAGGAGAGAAAUGAUCCCAGCAUCAAUGUGAUAUUUUGCAUGCUGUCCCCUUGGGAAUCGGUAAGUAUUUAUAGGCCAAAUCUGAGUUAUUCUAAUCCUUUGUUUUGUGAUGUGCUGGCAAGGUGUCACCAUCUGGAGGUCAGGGGCUGCUCUGGGUAUUUUGAAUCCAGACCAGAAUGCCUGUAACGCCUGUGGGGCUCUUACUGGGCCUUGGUCCAACCAGAGCUGAUACUAACGGGGUGCAGAGCGCUGCACAGCACAGCCCUGCAGGUGAGAGCUGUAGCACUCGGCUCCUCUGCAGCCACUCUCAAGGCUCUGACUUUGCUUUCUAUUCAAGGAAACAUCCUGGCUUGACCCCCAUGCUCUUCCUGUGGGAUCAGACAUGCUGUGCCUAUGGGCUCUCUGCUGGCAGACCCUCUGUGGCAGCAGCCAGUGGUCCGGGGCCGCGUCAGGCAGCGUUGACAGCCCUGGUGUGAAAUAAGAUGAAUGGGCUGAAGUUGGUGAAAAUGAUUCUAAUUUAUAAUCUGCUGCUUUGUGGAGCUCCCCAAUUAAUUCUCUGUAGAUACAUAAGUAGGCCACAUGUUUGCUUUGCUUCAAGUGUAAUAAACAUUACGCUCUGUCCUCUGCUUUUGGUGCUGGUUCCUGUCAGAGCGUUAGUCCCUAUAGCUAAUUUCUCACACCUGUCUCCCAGGCUCCUGGGAGCUGGGCUGAGCACGGGGAGGAAACGCCAGGCUGCAGGAAACUUGUGGCAUGGAGAGAUAAAUUGCUGAUCAAAGGGCUAGCGCACAGUGCCUCUGAAUAUUUAGUUGCAGGCGAGGCAGCCAAACCCACUCAGGAAAGAGCUUUGUUCUUGAAGAGCUGUUUGCCUGGUUCUGCUCUGCAGCAGUGAGCAGCUGGGGUGUGAUGGGGUGGUGGGAUCAGCGCUACCUCGGAGCCAAGCAAAGAAAUGGAUACUGGGGUGUGAUGGCAGUAAGGGGCUGUACUCAGCUCUUGACAGGGAAGAGGUGGGAAGGGUUCCAGAAGGUAGGGUGGGAUAUUCCUCCAUCUAGAUGGUAAGAGUGCUCAGGUGGAGGCAGUAAGUUCUGAUGAAGAGACAAGCACAAAAUGUUGCUGGAUGCACGACCUUCCUGCUUGCUCUGAUCUUUCUAGAUCUCUGGGUAGCCAGAGACCUUCUCCAGACCUUCAUCUUCAUUCCAUACCCAGCAAAAAAACCAUCACAAUUGCUUGCUUGCAUCAGUUUGCUCAGCACCCUGACCUUGCUCUGGUGCUCUGUGGGUUCAUUGGGUGAGGAAGCGCAGAGCUGCUUUGCUUGCUGAGAUGCCCUUGAGAAGGGGUGAACAAACUGGAAUUGCCACACUGCCCACAGGUGCCAGUGGGCACUCACUGGUGCUCAUACAUAGAGCUCAGUCUGGGUCAGGAUCCAGAGCCCUGGAGAUGGAGAGCUAAAGCACUACAGCAAGAGGAUGCACAAAGCUCUUGAGACUCUAUGCCACUGGCUGAAGGCAUUUCUGUAUGGCCCAGGGCACGGUGCCCUCAGGUGCCUGCUGCUCACCCUGUCCCCAGCAGCCAGCUCCUGGCAGCAGCAGAGUAUGUUUCCAGCCCUGAGAUGGAGUGUUUCUCUCUCAUCAGUCCAGUUUGGUUCAGGGAUGAUGGAGCACUCACAGCAGGAGUGGGCUGAGGCUGCUGGGCAGCCAAGCUGCUGGAGCAUGACUUUUUAAAUGCUUUCCAUUACAGCUCUCUGAAGCUUGUGUCUCUCCGGAGCUGCUUUCUGCACAGCAGGGGGAUGGAACUAGGUGAUCCUGGAGGUCCCUUCCAACCCGAGCUGUGCUGUGAUUCUAUGGUCUCAGCAAACAGGAGCUUUCAGAGUACGCUGCUGCAAGAGCAGCUCUGGGCUCCUUGAAUGUGUCCCUGGGAAGAGCUGCUCUGCACCUUGCUUUGGGGAUCCCCAGCACCUCUGGAGAGGCUGCGCUGGGGUUCUGGCAGUGGGGAGGGAGAGGGCAGUUUCCUUUGGAACAGGACUAUGCUUUUCAGCCUUUCUUAGCCCAGCUCUGCUCCCUCUAUACCUGUCUUUGGCUCUUUCCUUACCACAACAUCACAGAGAGAAGACAAGGGACUGCAAGGAGUCAGAAGAGGCAUCAGAGCUGGUCAUCCAGGCUCACCAAGCCCAGGACCUCCCUCAGCCCCAGGUUCCCUCAUCUUUGUACUACCUGCUCGUGCUCAGAGAGCUGCCAGCAUGCAGAGAGCACCUGAACUGGAUCCUCUCUGAGCUGCUGCCAGCUCCAAGGGAUUACAAGUGAAUAAUUCAGGUUCGAUGCUGUUUGAAGUUUCAGGGAAGGAAGUGGCAUGUGAAGCCUGUUCCCCACACCUGUCCCAGGGCCACGCUGCUCCAAAGGCAAUCACAAGAACACCCUGAGGAGCCACACUGAACAUUUCUGUGUGGAUGUUGCCUUCCCAGCUCCUGGCAGCCUGGACUGAGGCUGUUUGUACAGGCUGCAGCUCUGCACAGGGGCAGCUCCCCAGCACUAGAGGAUUGCUGCAAGGCUUGAGAGUGCUGUGGAAUGAAGCACAGCAUCCUGCUUGUCCAGGAGGGGUUAAAUGCCAGACUACUGUGUCUGUUCCAGCUGCAUUGAAGCAUGGAGAAGAAGGCAAUGGACAAACAUGACCUGCUGUAAACAAAUUUACAACUGAACAUAAAUCAAAAGCUGAAUUGCCAUCAGAAGCUGGGUGUUCUUCCGUGACAAAGAUGGUGGGAGCCACAUCCACGGGCACUCGUGUUUGGCAGCUGGUUCUCAGAUGGCCUUCAGAGAGGUUUCCAUAAGCAGAAGUCUGUGUUAAGACAGGGAAAGGGAUGGGUAGCACAAAGCUUUGCUUAGAAUCUCAGAAAGGCUCCUAGGGAUCUUUGGAGGGAUGGUGAUGAUCACAGAGGGACUAUACUUUGUCUCAAGGGGUCCCUGUUGCUAGGAAAUGCCUCUGGGAGCGUGUCCUAGAUGAGGCAGUGCUUUCCUACCCCACUGCACCACUGCUCAGACACUGCUCUUUUCAAACAGCACUCAUGGAUCGCCUGUCACCAUUGAAACUGCUAUGGCACUGGUGGCAGAGCCAGGAGCAAGGAGGCAAUGGGAGCUGCUGUCCAGCCAGUGGCUUCAUGCUGCUCUGGGAGAUCACUUGGUGUGCAUUCCUCUGCUGCUGAACUUCAGUGGGAAGGGCUGAGUUUGGGUUUGCUGCUGCAGGCUACAAGAGGCACCUGUGAUCCUCAGGCUGUUGGCUGCAGUUGUGGCUGGAGGAGGAAGAGGUUUGCAGUGCACUGAGGGAUGGAGAGCACAGAGCGUUUGUCCGAGGUGUUCAUCUUUGCUGAGCACAGAGCACAUCUCUGCUCAGCUCUCCAACCCCUCGGGGUCAGGAAGCAGAGCUGACUUCCUUCACUGCAUCCCAGGGAUGUGUGCUCCCAUCAGUGCUCUCCACAACCCGUGUUUGCACAACGCCAGGUGUUGCUGCUUCUUGAGACGAGGGACACAGAAAGAUAGGCUGGGAAAUUAUUUUUAACCUCCUGCAAUUUACUGUUCAGAAAGAUGUCACAUUUGUCAGGGCUGGUUCAUAGCAGCCGCAGUGGAGGCAAUCUUUCCCUCAUAGAUACACUUCUUUUUGUAAGGUGGCUCUCACAAAAUGUAAGUAUGAUCUUUGAUGGCUUCUGAGAGCUCUUGGAAGAACUAACAAGCAUAUCACAGGGUCCAGCAUUAAACCCUUCCCUGCAGGGGUGCAGUUGAGAAUGGAAACUAUCAGGCAGUUUGAGAUCCAUUUAACAGCAAUUAGUGUGGAUGAAAGAAACGCUAACGUGAAAGUGCCAGUCUGUGUGCAUAGGGUCAGAGGAGGAGAAAAACAUGGAAGGGAAAAUAUAAACGUGACAAAAUGUGGUUAUGUAGCCCAUGAAACAACGACUCCUUUUAAGUUUUUUUCAUGCCAGCAGAAGCCAAUCAGUCUGCAACAUGAUUGAAGACCUGCAGUAAAACCACAGAGCUGACGGGAUUGGAAUUCUGUGUGUGGUAUGAAAGGAAAGGCAAGCGUCCAAUGAACGAGAGCCAGAAGCUGCAGCAGCAGAAGCCUGGAUGAGAGGACCAUGCUUUGGCAAGGAGAAAUCACCUCUGGUAAGAGAUACGGAGCAGGUACAGAAAGCAGGAAUAUUACCCAGGAAAAUCCCAGGUCAUGGCAAAUGUGGCCCUGAAGUACAACCUGAAAUAUGUGACUUGGAAUGUGUUCUUUGAGGCUGCGUCUCAUGGAGGACUCUGUGGGUAAAAGCAUAUUGUGGACUUUAUGCUGUGAAGUGGUGAAUGAAAUGCAGAGGUGAGGUUGGCUUCAGGGGGGCACGGGGGGGAGGUUGGUAGGAUGACAGCCCUGGAAAAAGGAAAAGGAAGGAAUACACAGCAGAUAAACUUCAUUCCAUGGGCAAAGGGCACUCUGGGCUACACUUCAGUGUGUUCUAAAAGUACCUACGCUGCUAGGUCCUACGCUUGGGAAAUAAGAGGGAAGACACAUAUUUGCCAUUUGGAAAUACUGACGUUUGUUACAAGGUUAGUGUUAUUCCCUGGAUCCUGGUAACUGAGUGAGCUCGACGUGGUGCACUUGUGCUGUGCCUUUGGGGAGGCUUGAGUUCCUGCAGCUGUACACACUCAUUCAAAAUGAUACACAGGGAAACCUGCUCGCUGAGACAGAAGAACAACACGUGGCACAAGGAAAGUGUAUUUCAAUGGGAACUCUAUGAGUGGGGCUGUAGGAAGCAGGGGAUUCACCGGGCUCACACAGACGUGUGUUAAAAGAUGGUGGAUCUGGUGGUGAUUGCUGAGCAGGGUUUGCAUAGGAGGGGACUGGGCAUGGGGAAGGAUGGACUCUUGUGCUGUACCUCCAGAUGCAGGCACUGGACAGGGCUCCUUCACCAGCAGUGCUGGGGCUUUGCUGCUCCCUCCCAGCCGUGUUAUUUAUCAGAGUAAUGAGUUCAGCCAUUACAACACCGACAUACUCCAAAAGUGGUCACAUUGCUGUGCCUUGCUGGGAUAUGAGUCCAAAGACCAUCCUAGUAUCAGAAAUAAACUACUGCUAUUUUCCAACUUA